Molecule: ribosomal RNA, 406 nt
Filed under: uncultured bacterium
Lineage: Bacteria
Description: partial 16S ribosomal RNA
Rfam family: Bacterial small subunit ribosomal RNA
Source: RNAcentral
AUUGAACGCUGGCGGCAGGCCUAACACAUGCAAGUCGAACGAGUGGCGGACGGGUGAGUAAUGUCUGGGAAACUGCCUGAUGGAGGGGGAUAACUACUGGAAACGGUAGCUAAUACCGCAUACCAUCAGAUGUGCCCAGAUGGGAUUAGCUAGGUGGUGGGGUAACGGCUCACCAAGGCGAAGAUCCGUAGCUGGUCUGCGAGGAUGACCAGCCACACGGGAACUGGGACACGGUCCAAAUCCUAACGGAAGGAGGCAGUGGGAAAUUUUGCACAAUGGGCGCAAGCCGUAUGCAGCCAUGCGGCGUGUAUGAAGAAGGUCUCCGGGUUGUAAAGUACUUUCAGUGGGGAGGCGUUACCCGCAGAAGAAGCACCGGCUAACUCCGUGCCAGCAGCCGCGGUAAUAC